RNAcentral lists this ribosomal RNA (158 nucleotides) under Thysanophora penicillioides. Its description in RNAcentral is "Haplographium penicillioides 5.8S ribosomal RNA". It matches the Rfam family "5.8S ribosomal RNA". From Rfam's summary of the family: 5.8S ribosomal RNA (5.8S rRNA) is a component of the large subunit of the eukaryotic ribosome. It is transcribed by RNA polymerase I as part of the 45S precursor that also contains 18S and 28S rRNA. Functionally, it is thought that 5.8S rRNA may be involved in ribosome translocation. The record is from RNAcentral. RNAcentral also lists the same sequence under 2 other names. Lineage: Eukaryota; Fungi; Ascomycota; Eurotiomycetes; Eurotiales; Aspergillaceae.
AAACUUUCAACAACGGAUCUCUUGGUUCCGGUAUCGAUGAAGAACGCAGCGAAAUGCGAUAAAUAAUGUGAAUUGCAGAAUUCAGUGAAUCAUCGAGUCUUUGAACGCACAUUGCGCCCCCUGGUAUUCCGGGGGGCAUGCCUGUCCGAGCGUCAUUG